GACGAACGCUGGCGGCGUGCCUAAUACAUGCAAGUCGAGCGAACAGACGAGGAGCUUGCUCCUCAGACGUUAGCGGCGGACGGGUGAGUAACACGUGGAAAACCUACCUAUAAGACUGGGAUAACUUCGGGAAACCGGAGCUAAUAGCGGAUAAUAUAUUGAACCGCAUGGUUCAAUAGUGAAAGACGGUUUUGCUGUCACUUAUAGAUGGAUCCGCGCCGCAUUAGCUAGUUGGUAAGGUAACGGCUUACCAAGGCAACGAUGCGUAGCCGACCUGAGAGGGUGAUCGGCCACACUGGAACUGAGACACGGUCCAGACUCCUACGGGAGGCAGCAGUAGGGAAUCUUCCGCAAUGGGCGAAAGCCUGACGGAGCAACGCCGCGUGAGUGAUGAAGGUCUUCGGAUCGUAAAACUCUGUUAUUAGGGAAGAACAAAUGUGUAAGUAACUAUGCACGUCUUGACGGUACCUAAUCAGAAAGCCACGGCUAACUACGUG
RNAcentral lists this ribosomal RNA (497 nucleotides) under uncultured bacterium. RNAcentral's name for it is "partial 16S ribosomal RNA". It matches the Rfam family "Bacterial small subunit ribosomal RNA", at positions 28 to 507 of the family's 1533-position model. The record is from RNAcentral.